Long non-coding RNA from Cynara cardunculus var. scolymus (artichoke), 2007 nucleotides. RefSeq lists it as uncharacterized. The record is from RefSeq and is a predicted model, not a curated record. The transcript has 3 exons. Lineage: Eukaryota; Viridiplantae; Streptophyta; Magnoliopsida; Asterales; Asteraceae.
CUUGCCGCGUAAGGUUCUUGGUUUUUGUCAUAUUCAUCCGAUUAGGUAAUGUGACUUGCUAAGCCUUUACACGACUAAAAGUUUGGUAAAACGGCCCCUUAAUUUAUUUUUGAGUACAUUAUUUUUUCGUCCCUAUGGUAAUAUAUAUAAGAAUAAGUUGGUUAGGUUUUAGUAAAUUACUUUUUCCCUCAACUUAUGCUUAGUUUUCACGAUCUUCGAUUUUUUUGCCUUAUGUUACUUUAUUUUUUGUAUUUAUUCUAAUGUGAUUGAAUAAGUAAGCAUUCCAAUACAGUUUUCUUCAACUAGUUUUAACAUUUGGUAUUAGGCUAAUUGAUAAAAAAGUGAGUAGUAGUAUCUGCAAUUGCAAGUUUGUGCCAUUAGCAAUUCCCAAAUUCGAUCGUUAUGGAUAACGUCCAUCAUGCGAAGGUGUAUUGGACGUUGACGGAGGAUGGGGUUGUCGCUACCGGUAGAGAACCAACUGAGGCAGAACUGAAGGUGAUAGAGGAGAUCGAAGGACAAUUCUAAAUGAUGACACCUCAAAGCAGAUUUGGGUCUCUAUCCAACAUAAAUUCAAAUGCUCAACCAUGUUGGGACGGACCUAGAAUUUUUUUCAAACAGUGGCACCGUUUUACUAUAAGAAAAAGAUAUAGGGAAAAAAAUUUCUAACGGUACUAUAAGAAACAAAUAUACAUAUUUUUUUUUCAAAUGGUGACAACAUUUGAAUGACACUAACAGGAUUCAAACUUGGAUAUGGGGUGGAAAAAAAAAGCCUUAAUCACUACAACAAAAAAGGGUUUAUAUGACACUAUUUUGGGACACUUUUCAAGACCCGUCCUUUAAAAGGGAUAACAAGACACAUUAUUUUAUGAGUCCUAUUUGAUUUAGUUUAGUAGGACUCUUAAUUUUGUUGUCUUAUUAAGCUUUCUUAGUGUCCUAUCAUCCAAGUCUAAUACGACACUUUUCAAUGUCAAUUUAUUUUAGAGUCUAAUAGGACACUUUUUAAGUGUCUUAUUAUUUUAAAAGACUAAUAAGACAUUCUGAUGUGUCAUAAUUUUAGAAACUAAUAGGACAUUUUAAAGUGUCGUGUUAUUUUCAAAAGUUAAUAGGACAUUUUUGAUUGUUGUAUUAGUGUUUAAAAGCUAAUAGGACACUUUUGAUUGUUGUAUUAGUGUUUAAAAGCUAAUAGGACACUUUUUAGUGUCCUGUUAAAGUUUAAAAUAAUAUGAAUAACAUUAUAUUUAUAUUUAUUUAUUUUAAAAUUAAUAGAUAUUUUUCUUAAUUUAGUUUUAAAGAGUCCCAACAUUAGAUCCAUCACUAAUUAAAAGUCCAAUAAAAAAUCUUUUAAUUUUAAAAAAGAACAGCACACCCUCUUUCUCCGUAAAAUUCACCAUUUGCUUUUGAAAUGCUUCCAUGGAAGUCUACUGGGAUCCUUCCUUCAAACAGUUGGGGGAUAUUAGAAGAAACGUUUUCGGGCUACUACUCAAGCUCGCCUAACGGACCUUAGUCAUCGGCAACCUCCAAAAAUAUCGUCUCCGAGAGGAAUAGAAGGAAGAAGUUGAAUGAUAGGCUCUUUGCACUUAAGGCAGUGGUCCCUAAUAUUAGUAAGAUGGAUAAGGCUUCGAUAAUCAAAGACGCAAUUGAUUAUAUUCAAAUGUUGCAAGAUCAAGAGAGAACGAUCCAAGCAGAACUAAUGGAGCUCGAGUCUCGAAAAUUAUAGCUGGAAAAUUUGGACUUUUGUCAAUAGACCGAGUUUCUGCCAAUGGAAAGAUCAAAGAAGAAAAAGCUUGAACAAGCCUUGGAUUCGAGUGGAUCAAGAACAUAUCCCAUCCAAGUUAUACAAGUAAGUCUUGAUCGUUCUAAAUCAACCUCUCUAGGUGUUAUUUAAACUCAUUUUACAUCUAAUCUUUUACAUUUUCAAGAUUAAUUAUUUUUUGUAUAAUUUAUCAAAAUAUAUGAUGCAAUUCAUAUAUGCUAAUAAACUUGACUUUUAAUGAUAUGGAAUAUGAU